Molecule: long non-coding RNA, 1645 nt
Organism: Pristis pectinata (smalltooth sawfish)
Lineage: Eukaryota; Metazoa; Chordata; Chondrichthyes; Rhinopristiformes; Pristidae
Exons: 3
Source: RefSeq, a predicted model, not a curated record
GAAGGCGGCUCCCUUUGCGCGGGCAGGUGAGGAAUGUCUGAGCUGAAACUCGAUCUGUGCCGGGCGUCACCGUUCACAUACAAGCCGGAGCUGAGAACCACCCAGGGCAAGGAGCGGAUCAAAUUCUCAGAUGUCUCUGCCUGAUUAAAAUCCGACCAGUACUGAGUGACGGAGUGAUCGAGAGGGCCUGACGGCAGGAAAUACACAGCGAAGGAUGACCGUGGAAUAGCCCAGGACUGAAAGACACCAAAUCGGACUGUCUCUUAAAUUCAAAGCGCUUGCAUAGAUUGAGAUGGUUAACAGAUGUUUAACUGGAAUCUGGACCAUAUCCUUGGAUAUUAUGUGAUCUUAAAGGCGAUGUACUGUCUAACGAAUGGUUUUACUGGCAUCCGAAACUGCAACCACAAAUUGAAAUGCUGUCAAUGCUAACGAACUUGCAGAAAUGGUUUAACCCUUUACCCCGACAGACCGCUUGUUAAAGUCGUUUAAGUGGAUAUUCUUGCAAAAAUCAUGAAUUAGAACACCCUCCCAUUUGCUUCCUUAACUGGGGACACUGUUGGUUCGUUUGAUUUCUAUUCGAUCUAGGUGGUCAUGGCUUUUCGUAGAAAAGAAGCUCAACAAUAUCCGUCAAGGAAAGAGAGCAUACAGGAAUACGAAUUGUUUAACAGAACGUUGUCCGUCAGAGGUUUCACAUGUCCGGAAUCUUCCCUCAUUAUCAGAACUAAGAUAUACAACAAGAAAUGAGGCGUGACUCUAAGGCAAACUGUGAUCGAAACUCUAAGGAGAAGGGCUUUCCAGGUUUGCUCAUAUGAAGGUGUAGAAAUUUACUUCGAAGUAAAAACUGAACCUUGAAAUAACUUUAAUUUCUCAAACUUUUUGGUGAGAAUAAAUAUAUGGGAUUUAAACAAAAGGCAAAAUAUAUUUCGUUGUAACUUGGAUUCAAUCAAAGACGACGGUAUUACACAUGUUUCAAAUGAAUUCCGGGAAUAUUAUAUUUGCUUGCAACGUUUUUCUGGAGCUCCUGAAUUGAAACAAAUAUUAGGUACAACAGUAAGAUCACAAACGGAACGUUCAUUGCUAAAUGGGAAGGUUUUAAAAAGUGUCUUUCAGUGGAAAUAAAUGAAUGUAACAGUUGUGUGUCAUUCCCCAUCAUUCAAGAGAAAUGUGGUUGAGAAUAUUUCAUCGAUUGCUUCUUCAUACAUAAGUUUCGGUACUCCAAGUUUUCUAUACCCAAUAUCCUAUCCACUGCCUGAGUCAGAGGCAGACGUAUUGCAUCUCCAGAGCUCUCGUGUCCUUUUGAACCAUUACCUGAAACACAAAGGUCAGCUUGCAUUGGGUAAUGCAGGCGGCAUGACCUGCAGUGCAAAUGUGAUUGGUGGCGAGCGAGACAACCAGCUGUGGAUAUGCAUAAUGAACAUUGGCUCUCCUAGGGGCACAGUUGUCUCGCAAAAGCACGUCUUUGUUGUUGCUGAGGAGGUCGGUGACGUUAAUACAUCACAGACUGUCGCGAAUCCCGAUGACAAAAAUCAAUAAGUUGUGUAAUGCAUAAUGGUAUUUUCCGGUCAUGUAAUGGAAGACUGAAGCGAAAGUUUUUAUUUCAAGCAAACGUGUAUGAACUUUGUAUUGAAAUGGAUUAUGAUCGAGA